AUUGAACGCUGGCGGCAGGCCUAACACAUGCAAGUCGAGCGGAUGAAGGGAGCUUGCUCCUGGAUUCAGCGGCGGACGGGUGAGUAAUGCCUAGGAAUCUGCCUGGUAGUGGGGGAUAACGUCCGGAAACGGGCGCUAAUACCGCAUACGUCCUGAGGGAGAAAGUGGGGGAUCUUCGGACCUCACGCUAUCAGAUGAGCCUAGGUCGGAUUAGCUAGUUGGUGGGGUAAAGGCCUACCAAGGCGACGAUCCGUAACUGGUCUGAGAGGAUGAUCAGUCACACUGGAACAGAGACACGGUCCAGACACCUACGGGAGGCAGCAGUGGGGAAUAUUGGACAAUGGGCGAAAGCCUGAUCUAGCCAUGCCGCGUGUGUGAAGAAGGUCUUCUGAUUGUAAAGCACUUUAAGUUGGGAGAAAGGGCAGUAAGUUAAUACCUUGCUGUUUUGACGUUACCAACAGAAUAAGCACCGGCUAACUUCGU
This 483-nucleotide ribosomal RNA is filed under the name uncultured bacterium. RNAcentral's name for it is "partial 16S ribosomal RNA". It matches the Rfam family "Bacterial small subunit ribosomal RNA", at positions 30 to 506 of the family's 1533-position model. The record is from RNAcentral.